UGGGGAAUAUUGCACAAUGGGGGAAACCCUGAUGCAGCGACACCGCGUGAACGAAGAAGGUAUUCGUAUCGUAAAGUUCUGUCCUAUGGGAAGAUAAUGACAGUACCAUAGAAGAAAGCUCCGGCUAAAUACGUGCCAGCAGCCGCGGUAAUACGUAUGGAGCGAGCGUUGUCCGGAAUUAUUGGGCGUAAAGGGUACGCAGGCGGUUUAAUAAGUCGAAUGUUAAAGAUCGGGGCUCAACCCCGUAAAGCAUUGGAAACUGAUAAACUUGAGUAGUGGAGAGGAAAGUGGAAUUCCUAGUGUAGUGGUGAAAUACGUAGAUAUUAGGAGGAAUACCAGUAGCGAAGGCGACUUUCUGGACACAAACUGACGCUGAGGUACGAAAGCGUGGGGAGCAAACAGG
This 403-nucleotide ribosomal RNA is filed under the name bacterium. Its description in RNAcentral is "partial 16S ribosomal RNA". It matches the Rfam family "Bacterial small subunit ribosomal RNA", at positions 355 to 776 of the family's 1533-position model. The record is from RNAcentral.